This 517-nucleotide ribosomal RNA is filed under the name Munida sp. 3-EM-2003. RNAcentral's name for it is "partial 16S ribosomal RNA". It matches the Rfam family "Bacterial large subunit ribosomal RNA", at positions 1831 to 2597 of the family's 2925-position model. Lineage: Eukaryota; Metazoa; Arthropoda; Malacostraca; Decapoda; Munididae. The record is from RNAcentral.
GUCUGUAUGAAGUUAUAUAGAGUCUAACCUGCCCACUGAAUAAUUUAAAAGGCCGCAGUAUAUUAACUGUGCAAAGGUAGCAUAAUCAUUAGUUUUUUAAUUGAAGGCUUGUAUGAAGGGUUGGACAAAGAAAAAUCUGUUUCUAUAUUUAAAUUUGAAUUUAACUUUUAAGUGAAAAGGCUUAAGUAAAUUUAAGGGACGAUAAGACCCUAUAAAUCUUUAUAUUAAACUAUUUAAAAUUAAUUAAUACUGUAAAUAGUAAUAAAAAAAAAUAGUAAAUAUUAUAUUGGGGUGAUAAGAAUAUAAAUAAAUAACUGUUCUAAAAUUUAAACAAAAUUAUUUGUAAAUAAUAAUAGAUCCUUUUUAAAGAUUAAAAAUUUAAGUUACUUUAGGGAUAACAGCGUUAUUUUUUUUGAGAGUUCUUAUCGAAAAAAAAGUUUGCGACCUCGAUGUUGAAUUAAAAUUUCUUUGUGGUGCAGCCGUUACAAAAGAGAGUCUGUUCGACUUUUAAAUUUUU